This 73-nucleotide transfer RNA is filed under the name Candidatus Pacearchaeota archaeon. Its description in RNAcentral is "tRNA-Thr". It matches the Rfam family "tRNA". Rfam says of the family: Transfer RNA (tRNA) molecules are approximately 80 nucleotides in length. Their secondary structure includes four short double-helical elements and three loops (D, anti-codon, and T loops). Further hydrogen bonds mediate the characteristic L-shaped molecular structure. tRNAs have two regions of fundamental functional importance: the anti-codon, which is responsible for specific mRNA codon recognition, and the 3' end, to which the tRNAs corresponding amino acid is attached (by aminoacyl-tRNA synthetases). tRNAs cope with the degeneracy of the genetic code in two manners: having more than one tRNA (with a specific anti-codon) for a particular amino acid; and 'wobble' base-pairing, i.e. permitting non-standard base-pairing at the 3rd anti-codon position. Lineage: Archaea; Nanobdellati. The record is from RNAcentral.
GCCUGUAUAGCUCAGUCGGUAGAGCGAUUGUUUCGUAAACAAUAGGUCCUGGGUUCAAUUCCCAGUACAGGCU